GCCUGGGUGGUGGAACUGGUAGACACCCGGGACUUAAAAUCGGGUUCGAUUCCCGCCCCAGGCACCA
This 67-nucleotide transfer RNA is filed under the name Desulfobulbus sp. Tol-SR. RNAcentral describes it as "tRNA-Leu". It matches the Rfam family "tRNA". Rfam says of the family: Transfer RNA (tRNA) molecules are approximately 80 nucleotides in length. Their secondary structure includes four short double-helical elements and three loops (D, anti-codon, and T loops). Lineage: Bacteria; Pseudomonadati; Thermodesulfobacteriota; Desulfobulbia; Desulfobulbales; Desulfobulbaceae. The record is from RNAcentral.